RNAcentral lists this long non-coding RNA (1960 nucleotides) under Spirodela polyrhiza (greater duckweed). RNAcentral's name for it is "long non-coding RNA (SPOL_LNC000900)". The record is from RNAcentral. Lineage: Eukaryota; Viridiplantae; Streptophyta; Magnoliopsida; Alismatales; Araceae.
AACUGAGAAAAAACACUGAUCAGUGGAUUUUCUUAGCAUCAUAUCCACAGACUCUUGGUGAGACCUGCAGGUUGGCAGAGUAGCGGACGAGUCUUUGCGUUGUACGUGAUGGCCCUUCAGACCCAUUUAGAGGAAAUAUCAUGUUGGAGAGUCCAUAGCGAGGAUCUUGAAAAGGGAUGACAGCGAAAUAUGAGACCUGCAAUGAACUCCAACGAGGUAGGCAGAUGAUAAUAGAAUCAGAUGCUGACCAGGAAAAUAUUUUAUCCGAACCCUUGUCACUUAGACUUUUGCAUUUUUCCUGAACCUUCUCAGAUGUUCUCCAGAAGAGUACCUGGAGGUGCAAAGGAUGUCUGGGCUGAACCUGAUGCAGCUGUUUCUCUACGACGUACUUCGGCAGAGAACGGGCAACCACUGAAAUAAUUGCAAGAUUUUAGUGCAUGUGAUCUGAGUUUUAAGAAGAAUUUCUAUGUAUGGAACGACUAAGGCACAAGAAAACAGCAUAGCAGAGAUGAGCGGUAAAAUUGGACAUCUAAGGAGAGGACGAGCUUAAUGCAGUUCAUAUUUAUAUAUGCCAAAAAAAACUUUAAAAAAUAAUAUCUAAGAACAUGUACAAAAAAACGGUGUACAAUGCUAUUCAAGGAACUGAUUUAAAGCAGAACAAGAUCCAUGAAUCAAAGGCUACAGAAACUUGGAAACGUAGCUUAUGUCUUUUUAACGCAAGCAAUUAUUUUUCAAACCACUCAAAAAACCAAACAUGAAGAAGAUUAUGAUUCAAAAUUAAUAUAUUAAGUCACUGGAAAAAUUAUAUAAUACAUGGAGUCCUAAAAAAAUCAAGAAAUAUUAAUGGAUAAUAUAGGAUUUCCCAAACAAGGAUCAGACCAUCGUGUACCUCAGAGAUUCGCACAGGAAGAUGGAAAACGUUGAUGAGACAGGCAACUAAUUUUAGUUCUCAGCCUUGGCUCAUUUUCCCCUUCUCAUUCUUCUUCUGCUCAGAGCAUUCCAUCAUGAUCUCAAAACACCCUGGCUCCUUUAUUCAUCUCUCUACAACCUCGAGUACUCAUCAUGAGAAUCUCAAACAUUUAUGAGCCAUUUCGAGGGUUGCUGACAUGCAUGCGCAUGGUGUCAUGCAUCUAUGCAUCUCAGAUGGUUCUCUAACCCCCAAAAAUUGGAACAGCUGCCCCGGUGAAUAAGUGAGGCGAGUAAAUCUGUCUCAUGAGAAUCUUUGAGACGUAAAUACAAGUAUCUGACCUAGAUCACUGCAACAGAUAUUCCUAAGUAUAACUUUUGACCUAGAAAAAACCUAAGCCAAAAAAAUAAAUAAAAAAACUCAAAUAAUUUUUCUUAACCCUCCAAUGAACCAAACUCACUUUCCUAAGCUCAGUAAGCUGUCUCCCGCGAGUCUCCCGGGAACCUCUUCAUCGAGUAGCAAAGAUCAAUUAUCUAUUCGCACUUAGACAUAUCAAAAAGGGUCUGACGGGGAGAUGCGAUUCUAGCGCAUCAGCUGGUCAUCCAUGCGCGAGACAGCAGCCAUGGCGUUGAAGAUAGGCCUCAUAAUCCAUUCAUCCUCCAUGAUAUGGAGAACCCAAAAAAGGGCAGCUAGAUGUGAAGAUAACUCAACUAGCUGCCAGACUACAGGUCCUGGAAUAAGGCAACGAUGGCAGCUCACCCACCUCUUCUAGUGUGAUCUCGUCGUCGAUAAAAAAAGAUCGGAAAGAGAGUUAAUAUCUCUCCCUUACAGAAGAGGCACCGCCGCUCACGCCAAUCCCCAAAUUCGCCUUCUCGUCUACCCAGAAGGUUUGGGCAGACAGGAAAUGGCAAGAUUAUUUGACCGGUAACGAGAUAGAUUACGCUACAAAUCGGGCAAAGUCAAACGGCGUGAUCCCGCAGAUGAUUCUCCGCAAGGAAAAUAGAGAAAAUAUUCAGAAGCGGAGGGAACAGAAAGGAAGAGAGGAACUCAAAC